UUGCAGCCAAAGAUGGAGAAGCUCUAUAGAGUCAGCAAAAACAAGACUGAGAUCUGACUAUGGCUCAGGUCAUGAACCCCUUAUUGCAAAAUUCAGAUUUAAAUCGAAGAAAGUAGGGAAAGCCUCUAGACCAUUCAG
Long non-coding RNA from Cervus elaphus (red deer), 138 nucleotides. RefSeq lists it as uncharacterized. The record is from RefSeq and is a predicted model, not a curated record. The transcript has 3 exons. NCBI's taxonomy places the organism in Eukaryota, Metazoa, Chordata, Mammalia, Artiodactyla, Cervidae.